Molecule: long non-coding RNA, 834 nt
Filed under: Brassica rapa (field mustard)
Lineage: Eukaryota; Viridiplantae; Streptophyta; Magnoliopsida; Brassicales; Brassicaceae
Description: long non-coding RNA (BRAP_LNC006104)
Source: RNAcentral
GAUGUGGUCCAUUGGCUGUGAGAUUGAAUCGGACGGUUAUCAGACGAUGUCGUGGAGGAUUGACUGAGAUAUGAGAACCGUCGGAUUAAGCUGCUAAAUAUAGAUAGACAGGGUCCAUGUCAAGACGUAAUGGGAAGGGGACCUCAUUGCCAAAAAUAGAAAGAUGGGGGCUAUCUUCGAAUAAGUCACGUCUCGGGUUUAUUGAGUGGGGUUUUAAGCUUUGGGGACCAGCCUCUCUUUAUUUUUCUUUUUUCACCAACAGGCUGCGAUAUAUAGUAAGUUACUGUAGUCCUCGACUCAUAGUCAUCAUGCAUCAAAUAAAAGGUUUCAGCUUCCAAGAAAAAUGGUUCACACUAAUGUACAUGUUAUUCACAAUCUCAUAUCACAUUAUCACUAACAAAGUUAUAUUAACGAAUGAAUAUUGAUUUCUCUUUUUUAUAUUGCUUUGUUUCUUGCAUCCACUAUUAAGUUUCAGAUUAAAAAAUCCCAUUAAACAUGUUGGCAUUAAUGUAGUGAUUAAAGACAUCGAAGAUAUAAUUCAUCGAUCCUUGUGAAACCUAAGAAACUCUACAAGCUUGUCUUUGUAUUAUACGAGGAGGAUAUGAAGUCACGUAUGAAUGCAAGACAUGUGAGUAUUUCGGCUGACAGAAAAAAACAUACUAAAUAUUUCCCAAGAAAAAUAAACAUACUAAAUAUUUUCCCAAUUAUUAGUACUUAUUAGAACUGGUCUUUGGCUAAAGCUGAUCAAACAAUAUUUAAACGAAGUAAUAUAUUAAAGUCUAUUAACUAAUAAUUUAGAUGUCAUACCUUUGAUGUUGAUUACUAUAAGUCAAU